RNAcentral lists this long non-coding RNA (431 nucleotides) under Phoenix dactylifera (date palm). Its description in RNAcentral is "long non-coding RNA (PDAC_LNC021355)". The record is from RNAcentral. Lineage: Eukaryota; Viridiplantae; Streptophyta; Magnoliopsida; Arecales; Arecaceae.
CCCUCCGACGCUCAAGUCAGGGAGGGGGCAAAUAGUGUAGAGAGGAGAAGAAUAGUGUUUGUAGGGUGCGUAAUUUUACCCAACCCCCCCCCCACCUGAGGGGCCAAGGUUUCCUUUUAUAGGCGGGGGUCGGUUUACCUGUGAUGUAACGGGGCGAGGCCGUAGUACGGCUCGGCAUGUUGUUCAGGUCGGCGCACGAUCAGGUGAAUCAUUGCGUUGAUGUCGGCGGUGAGGUCGUCGUACGACCUGGGCUUGCACGCUAUCAAACGAAUUAUUGCAUUGGUGUCGGAGGUAUGGCCGAGAUCAGAGACUUAUCAUGGUUGACUAGACUCUGCUGGGCUAACUUGCCGUGGAGAGCUGAGAGUCCGUAGAUGACAGGAGCCAUGCGCAUUAAAUGUGGAGUAAGCCGGAGAUCCGCAUUAAUUGUGGAG